Molecule: long non-coding RNA, 5568 nt
Organism: Cygnus olor (mute swan)
Lineage: Eukaryota; Metazoa; Chordata; Aves; Anseriformes; Anatidae
Exons: 4
Source: RefSeq, a predicted model, not a curated record
UGUGGCUGUCCCUGCUAGCCCCUGGGAGAGCCCAGCUGGACCAGAGCUGACACCUGAAUGAGAUGAGUACAAUUAAUCAAGGCAGAUUGGAAUUGACACCUAUUAAUUAUUUAUUGAACAGCAAGAAGGCAAUCACAUGGACGCAUCAACUAGUGACCUCGUAAUGAACAUCGAGAGCCUUCGGGAGCUGGGGGAGUGAUGUUCCCGGGGGAGCAGUGCUGUGGGGCACUCGGGGCAGCAUGCUCAGGGUCAGCACCCAUCAGCAGCCCAGCAGUGGGAGCUCACUGCUCCAGGGACACGGCACAGGCACCUCCAGGCACAGAGCAUGCUGUAAGUACAUGGUGUUAUAUUGAAUUGACACACAUUAUAUUAAAAUGCCUGUGCAAGCAAUCUAUUAAACGGCCGGUGCCUGGUCACGUCAGACAGAGCUGAGCCUGCCCAGGCAGCUCCCAGGAGCUGGAGAUGCAGGGGAAGCUCAGAGCCAGGUGCCACCACCUGGGCUUGCUGGAAUCGCUGUGUGUCAUUGUGUUUAACAGCCAGCUGAAAAACCCAGAUGCUUUUACAAGGCCAAAUGAGUUUUAAAAGUUUAAAGGUAAGCUUUGACCCUGCCACUUGUCAAUGUGAUGCUUUGCAGCUCUAAAAAUAGAACAUCUCUGCCAGAGGAAAGAUAUUUUUGGAAAAGCUAGUUACUGCAGCCAAUCUUGCAUCGUUACUGGAGCCGUGCUCAGAGCCUUCUUUUAAUUUCCUUCUGCACAUAAGUUUUAUGAAGUGCGAAAAAAUAACCGGUGCGUGCCCUUGAGGAGCAGCAGUGCCCACCGGCACCCAGGCAGGCAGCCCCACGUGUCUGUCUGUCUGUCCGUCCGUGGAGGGCUCUGCUCCACUUGGACAAAGGCGGAGCUGGGUGAUGGUGUCCAGCCUGACACAAAAUAUUGUCUGUGUGAAAGUGCUAACCAGGAAGGCCGUCACACCAAACCAUAAAGUACAGCUGAGGAUACUGAGCCUGGCAAACGGUGUAUCUGAACAUCUGUGCUCACAAGGAGAGAAGGGCACGCAGCGUGGGAAGUUCAGCAGAUUUGCACAAAGGUGGCAGCACAGGCAGACGCAGAAUGCUACAGCUAGCUCAGCUCUGCCAUGGCUCCCUAAAAAUAAUGGAAACUGCCUCAGAUGUCUCUUGCAAGAACUGAAAUUAAUACCAUUCUUCAUCAGAACUGACAUGUCCAAGUACUCCCCAAAUGGUGAGUGUUAAUAUUCUGAUUUCCAGUUAUGAGAUGCGUGCUUUGGCCUUCAUGUCAUGGAGAGGUGGGAAUGAUGGAGGUGGCGCACCUGUGGCUUCUGCAGCGGCAUCAGGAGGGGAAAAAGAUCCCAUGAGGUUUGAGCCCGGAGCUGGAGGAGGAGGUCUGCCACGGGCAGCAAGGCUCCUGCUGCUGCAGGGAAGCCUGCCCUCGGAACCACGGGGAAAUGCCAGCCAAGCAGCCGCUGAUGGCUGAAACGCGUUGCUGGCGGCUCUCUGACAAUUUUUAAUUAUUAUUUAUGUCACUAAGCACUCUGCAUCUGAGGACAUCAAGCAACUGCAACAGGCUAUAGAUAGGACUGUCUCCUCCUUCGCAUCCUUUCCCAAAAAAGCUUGGGGAAUGUGGGCAGAGCACACGACAGCACCCCAGCUUCCCUGCCUCCCUGCUGGCAGGUGAAGGCUCCCCCGUGCCGGAGGCUCCACGAGGCGCCUGCAAAUUCCGAGCCCUCAGCAUUCAGCUGGCGUCUCCAGCCAGGGCUUUUUCCAGGUUGGAAAGGUUGUGCCACGACAGCUCCCACAUCAAAAGUGUUUUCAGUGAAAGAAAUGAGAAAUAAAUCUCCAAAGAUGCGGCCUCAUUAUCUAUGUGGCAUUUAAGCGUAAUUUAUGCCCAGUAUCUUGCCACUUCCCUCGGUAGGAAAUUGCAUUGUUGGUUCCCCAACACUCAGCUUCUACGGCAGCCGUGUCAAAAAUAUUGAAACAAAUUGAUCCAACUGGAGUUCUCUCUGCAUUUUUAUUGCCAAUUUAUCAAUGUGGGCGAGGCACGGUGCGCACUAAGUGAGUUGUGAUCCCUGAAGGAGACGGGUGAGACCAGGGACACUGACCGGGCUGGGGGCAUCUCAGCGGGCAGCGCGCCGAAGUCAUUCCACACGUAGCCAUGGCCCACUCCAGGGAUCUGGCUGAAUUCUCCUUACCUCAAGUUUUCUUUAUUUUCUUUUUUAAUCACAUCGUAAUUGGGGGAACCAGCAAAAGCAUAAAAAAAAAAAAAAGAAAACAAACAAACAAGAUUAAUGAGCAGCAUCAGGGGAGAAAAAGCGUUUUCUGGCCAGAGUCCUUGGCAGCGGUAGGAAAUAGAUGCUUCUCUUGGAGAGUUUUUAGCUGGCGCUGAGUUGCCAGCUGAGGAAGUCAAGUGAAAAGCAAGUGCCUGGAACCCGAGUUCACCGCAGCCUCCCUCUGCUUAGCUCAUUUAGUGCCUCAGCCUGAGCAGUGGGUAUUUGGAUGUUUAUUCCCAGACUAAAUUGCUUUUGGAGCUCCGGCUCGUUUGUCAGUGAAAGAGAAAACAAGCUGUCGUUUGGACUCACGGCCCUCGUGGCUCCUUCCCCUGUUUGCUGGUGCCGCGGAAGCAGGCAGCGAGCGUCCUCAGCCGCAGGCCAGCAUCCUCUGGCUGCUCUCGCCUGUGCUGGACGUGGCUGUGCAUCUCCCCGGGGGGUUUUGGCAUCCAGACGCUUUCCCUGAAGGCCCAGGCUGGCAGCCAGCCCCACCACGGUGCCAGAGCUCACUCCUUGGUUGCCCACGAGCGCCAGCAGCGCCGAGAGCAGCAGCUCCGGGGAGCUCCGCAGCAUCCCGGUGGCCUUGCCUCUCGGCAGCCCGCGGCUCCGAGGUGCCAAUGUUUGUGACUGUGGAAAGCACGGCUCCCAGCGCUGGCACGCAGCGAGAGUCUCACACAUGCAGAACGGCGCUUUGAAGCUGCAAAUUUUGGGGGGAAAAGUUUCACACGUUCAUGAAUAAUCAGAGUUUGUACCAAACUGCGGAGCUUCCCGGAUCCUUUGAGCUUCAUACUUCGCUCAAAAUAAACAUAGCCAGGUGUUCGCACAAAUUAGGAGGUUGUCUGAUAUAGAUUACGAUCUAAGUAAGAGUUGGUAAGUCUCUAGCAGUUGCUUAUAUGUGGCAUUCAGUAGCAGCUUGUGGUGUAAAAUUCCCUCUUCGCUUGCAUAAACACCAGUAAAAUCUGGGGGCUCAGCUUUCUCACCCUUGUAUUUGAUGCUUUGUUGUCAGUGUAUGUUUGGGGAUUUAAAUUUCAUGCUUGUUUUUGCUUCAGGGGUUUCCAUCUCCUUCCACCCUGCCUGCGGGGACGGGAGCAGGGGAGGCUUCGCCCGGCUCCUGGGCGCCGCUUGCUGCUGCAGGCAGCCACGCUGCUCGGCCCAGGAGCAUCUGUGUGACCGAACUUGGGAGGCAUCUCAACUUGAUGAAGACAUUUUCCCGCUAUCUGCUGUUAUCUGGGUGCCUGGAAGAAUUCCGGAGGAGCUCUCAUCCUGCCUCCAGGCAGGGCUUAUGGGGUUUGAACCAGUCCCAGUUGCCAUGGAGAAAGUGUUAGAUAGCUUUAAUACAUCUGUGCGAAUUUCUCCCUGGAGUUUUCCCAUGACAAGCUGGACUGGAGAUCCAUUAGUUUGCCCUGCCUUUAACCAGAAGAUAGUUGAAGGAACGUGGUGGAAUCAAGUAAAUCCAAGCUGGAAAUCUCCAAUGAGAGGAGACAGUAGGAAAACUAAGAGGAACAGAGAAAGAAGUGCUGACUGUCAAACCCUUCGGUGGGUUUCUGUUCUUUGUGUUCAGAAAUCUGGAAGCCAGGGGAAGCAGAGCCGGUACGCUGCGCUCAGAGCGAGCCUCCUCGUGAGCAAUCCUUCUGUCAGUGCCUUCACUUUCCUCUUCCUUUCUGCUUUUCUUCUAACCCCCCAGUGGUACUUCUAGCUGCUUUGGUUUCUCUAAACAUUAUCUUUUCCGCAGUUGAUGGGCUGUUGAAAUAUGAAGUCCAUAAAUCACUGGAUAAUGUCACAUCCACUGCAGUGUCUGUCCUGUUCAGCCUCAGCAAUCGCCCUGCCCGGCAAGGAGGGAGCGCAGGGCCCGGUGAGCAGUAGCCCCGUACCACGAAGUCUGGUUACCUUCUGCAUGGGACAUUGCCGUUAUCCCGAGAGGAACACCCGGGGUGGGUGUGCUGGAAAACCAGCGCUGAGCUCAGCUGUCUCCACGCGGGUCCCCAGGGGUUGCUGAGACUUGCUGGAAAGCUGAGUUGUUGAGGUUGCUGGAAAAUUGCUGCCCAGCAUUAAGAAGUUAAGAGACAGACACGGGGCUGGCGGUGCGGCGAUGCCCAGGCUGGCACCGGGACCCCCGGCUGCCCCACGUGGGAAAGCCUGGUGAGAGCAGCAGUGCCGAGAGCAGCAUGAAAGAGAAAGGCAAAGCCUGCUGCUUCCUGACUUCCAAUUCUCUUCUCUCCCAGGGAACGUGGUGAGGCCAAGCCCUGCUCCUUGCUUUUCCCUUCCCUUGUUCUCCCCUGGUUUCUCUGCAGUCCCCUGCAAAUUCCCCCGCUCUGCGCUGGGAUGUGCGGGUGCUCGGCUGGAGGAUUGCUUGCGGUGGAGAGGAGAGGUGGCAUGGCAAAGCAUGUGCUUCUGCUGAUAUGCUGGGGUUAAAAAGUAAUUAAUUAGCUAGUUUAUGGUGUUUUCCCAUCUGAAAUUAAAAACAAAAAUUAUGCAGAACAUACAAGGUAAUUAGGAAGCAGCAAGCUACAACACACCUUUAAAUGAGAGCUCUAAAAAGCAUGAUGUUCGGCAGCAGAUUUUUAAUGUAACAGCUAUUAAAAGCUUACACCCUCGAUCGCGUUCCUGGGAACAUUCAUCACGCUUCGACCUUCCCUUACGGAUCCAGGUAGAGCCCUAGCAAAACCUGAAUUUUUAAUAUUCCUGGUGCUUAUCCAUGAUCAGAUUUCCCAUUUAAAAUCUAUUAGCCAAGAUGAGAAAAUUGGUUCAUAUUUUAUGUGCCUAGUUUAAUUUUUUUUUCUUUGCAUUUACAACUGGCCCCUAGUGUUUCAUCCACCCCCUAAUGAUUUAGCUGUGCAAGAUGUUCCACCACUUUAUUAGAGUGGAGUGUAUGGAGCAGGUCAUGCAUAUUAAACAUGAAGUUUUUACUACAGUUGGUUCAAUAAUCCGAAAGAAAAACAUUAUUAUAUUUUUUAAAUUUUUUACUGUGUUACCAGCUGCCACUUCUGGAAGGUCAGCCCCUCAGCCUGGCACCCGGCACUGCUGCAGCAUGUGGGGCACGACGGGCAAGCAGCAGCCCAGCCCCACGUCUGUGCGCCUCAGGACGGGGCCUGGUGCUGCGCUGUGCUUGCCGUGGUGACACACGUAUGGGCUUCACAGCCUCCUCUCGGGAGAGGAGGCGACUAUUGAUCCGUGUGUCUCUCUUUUGUCAUUAAAUCAAAGUUGGAAAUCAAAGCUUUAUGCUGUUAUUCGUUUCAGCAAGGUCUGAAACAGCAGCGGAAGAGGUCUGUGCGGUGCUUCGCUCCCCUCGGG